UGGAUCCAGACUUUGAUCAUGGCUCAGGAUGAACGCUAGCUACAGGCUUAACACAUGCAAGUCGAGGGGAAACGACAUUGAAAGCUUGCUUUCGAUGGGCGUCGACCGGCGCACGGGUGAGUAACGCGUAUCCAACCUGCCCAUCACUUGGGGAUAACCUUGCGAAAGUAAGACUAAUACCCAAUGACGUCUCUAGAAGACAUCUGAAAGAGAUUAAAGAUUUAUCGGUGAUGGAUGGGGAUGCGUCUGAUUAGCUUGUUGGCGGGGUAACGGCCCACCAAGGCUACGAUCAGUAGGGGUUCUGAGAGGAAGGUCCCCCACAUUGGAACUGAGACACGGUCCAAACUCCUACGGGAGGCAGCAGUGAGGAAUAUUGGUCAAUGGACGAGAGUCUGAACCAGCCAAGUAGCGUGCAGGAUGACGGCCCUAUGGGUUGUAAACUGCUUUUAUAAGGGAAUAAAGUGAGUCUCGUGAGACUUUUUGCAUGUACCUUAUGAAUAAGGACCGGCUAAUUCCGUGCCAGCAGCCGCGGUAAUACGGAAGGUCCGGGCGUUAUCCGGAUUUAUUGGGUUUAAAGGGAGCGUAGGCCGGAGAUUAAGCGUGUUGUGAAAUGUAGAUGCUCAACAUCUGCACUGCAGCGCGAACUGGUUUCCUUGAGUACGCACAAAGUGGGCGGAAUUCGUGGUGUAGCGGUGAAAUGCUUAGAUAUCACGAAAAACUCCGAUUGCGAAGGCAGCUCACUGGAGCGCAACUGACGCUGAAGCUCGAAAGUGCGGGUAUCGAACAGGAUUAGAUACCCUGGUAGUCCGCACGGUAAACGAUGGAUGCCCGCUGUUGGUCUGAAUAGGUCAGCGGCCAAGCGAAAGCAUUAAGCAUCCCACCUGGGGAGUACGCCGGCAACGGUGCAACUCAAAGGAAUUGACGGA
This 926-nucleotide ribosomal RNA is filed under the name uncultured bacterium. RNAcentral describes it as "bacterial SSU rRNA". It matches the Rfam family "Bacterial small subunit ribosomal RNA", at positions 1 to 917 of the family's 1533-position model. RNAcentral also lists the same sequence under 1 other name. The record is from RNAcentral.